GUCAAAACGACUCUCGGCAACGGAUAUCACGGCUCUGCAUCGAUGAAGAACGUAGCGAAAUGCGAUACUUGGUGUGAAUGCAGAAUCCCGUGAACCAUCGAGUCUUUGAACGCAAGUUGCGCCGAAGCCAUCAGGCCGAGGGCACGUCUGCCUGGGCGUCACGCAUCGCGUCGC
RNAcentral lists this ribosomal RNA (174 nucleotides) under Physacanthus nematosiphon. Its description in RNAcentral is "5.8S ribosomal RNA". The stretch from base 9 to 161 matches the Rfam family "5.8S ribosomal RNA". Rfam says of the family: 5.8S ribosomal RNA (5.8S rRNA) is a component of the large subunit of the eukaryotic ribosome. It is transcribed by RNA polymerase I as part of the 45S precursor that also contains 18S and 28S rRNA. Lineage: Eukaryota; Viridiplantae; Streptophyta; Magnoliopsida; Lamiales; Acanthaceae. The record is from RNAcentral.